Molecule: ribosomal RNA, 501 nt
Filed under: Triticum aestivum (bread wheat)
Lineage: Eukaryota; Viridiplantae; Streptophyta; Magnoliopsida; Poales; Poaceae
Description: partial small subunit ribosomal RNA
Source: RNAcentral
AUGGGAGCUGGGAUGAAACGCACGAGGGAGGAGGAGCCAGCCGUGUCGCUGGCACUGUCCCUCAGCACGGAUCCCGCGUCUUCCGCCGUAACGUCAGCCGACUCAGGCGCUGGUGCGCCGGCCAAGCGCAGGAGGGGCGCCGUGGUAGCGACGUCGGGGGAGGGGGAGUUCGUGUGCAAGACGUGCGGGCGGGCCUUCGCGACGUUCCAGGCGCUGGGCGGGCACCGGACCAGCCACCUCCGCGGCCGCCACGGGCUGGAGCUCGGCGUCGGCGUCGCCAGAGCCAUCAAGCAACGGAAAAAGCAGCGGCACGAGUGCCACAUCUGCGGGCUCGGGUUCGAGAUGGGCCAGGCGCUGGGGGGACACAUGAGGCGGCACCGCGAGGACAUGGCACUCGGCGGCGCCGACGACCAGCGGGUCGCGCUGCUCUCGGAUCAGGAGGUGGCGGGGCACCAGGCCGCGGCCGACCAGCCGCCGGUCUUGCUCGAGCUGUUCGUCUAG